This 550-nucleotide ribosomal RNA is filed under the name uncultured bacterium. RNAcentral describes it as "bacterial SSU rRNA". It matches the Rfam family "Bacterial small subunit ribosomal RNA", at positions 355 to 896 of the family's 1533-position model. The record is from RNAcentral.
UAGGGAAUCUUCGGCAAUGGACGGAAGUCUGACCGAGCAACGCCGCGUGAGUGAAGAAGGUUUUCGGAUCGUAAAGCUCUGUUGUAAGAGAAGAACGAGUGUGAGAGUGGAAAGUUCACACUGUGACGGUAUCUUACCAGAAAGGGACGGCUAACUACGUGCCAGCAGCCGCGGUAAUACGUAGGUCCCGAGCGUUGUCCGGAUUUAUUGGGCGUAAAGCGAGCGCAGGCGGUUAGAUAAGUCUGAAGUUAAAGGCUGUGGCUUAACCAUAGUACGCUUUGGAAACUGUUUAACUUGAGUGCAAGAGGGGAGAGUGGAAUUCCAUGUGUAGCGGUGAAAUGCGUAGAUAUAUGGAGGAACACCGGUGGCGAAAGCGGCUCUCUGGCUUGUAACUGACGCUGAGGCUCGAAAGCGUGGGGAGCAAACAGGAUUAGAUACCCUGGUAGUCCACGCCGUAAACGAUGAGUGCUAGGUGUUGGAUCCUUUCCGGGAUUCAGUGCCGCAGCUAACGCAUUAAGCACUCCGCCUGGGGAGUACGACCGCAAGGUUG